Molecule: long non-coding RNA, 1519 nt
Organism: Ananas comosus (pineapple)
Lineage: Eukaryota; Viridiplantae; Streptophyta; Magnoliopsida; Poales; Bromeliaceae
Exons: 2
Source: RefSeq, a predicted model, not a curated record
UAUAGUUCGGCUAUAGUGCUUUUAAAAGUACAAAGCAUUUGAUGGUUGUAAGUUUUUCGCUGUUAGAUUUACCCCUUUGAUCAUUUCCACAUGCUAGAUUAUACUAUUUGACCUAUCAAUCACACUUGCUAGUUCCGGCUCGUGCCUUAAUGGUGCAGGCUGCAGAGAUUGACUGCAUGAAAGCUUGAGCAUAGACAACUAAACCCCUUACUAUUUACUUACGAUGUCGCAAAAUUACAGCUGCAAAAUUUGGUAGCUUUGUGGCUUCAGAAAAGCGGCUUAUGAUAAUUGAUUUGAUUUGGAGUGUAGAGAGGGGAUGGACUUGUUUGACAUAUAUGGGAUUAGACAACUUGCAGGAAAAAAAAAACAAAAAAAAAAACUUGUUUUAGUUAUGAAAUCAGUACUUAGUACUAUAAUAUUUUCUUCUAGUAGUUAGAAAGAUUAUUCAAUUUGGAGGUCAUUAUCAUAUUAAAACAUCGAUUGCUUUGGACAUUUUGCAUCCUAUUCUUGUGUUUGGUUUAAGUAAAAUACGAGUCAACUAUUCCAGAAUGAAAGAUAUAUCAUGGACGAGCAUUUAAUGGAUGAUUUAAUUGUUUGGUGGCCUCUCAGUCUAUUGAGUGUUUUAGGUGCUUAAAUAUGCUUUUGAUGAAUAAAAUAGUUUUGUCCUCUCUUAUUUAAUUCGCAGUUGUUUAGUUGGUUGAGGGUAUCUUUUCUUUUUCUUUUCAUUAUUGAUGGAGAGUUAGCAACAAAUAGAAUACAAAACACCUAUCAUAAUAUUUAUAUAGUUUUCGAGGAAAGAGACAAAGGAGUGCGAUAUUAUAUUUUGAAGUCGACUUUGGACCUAUUUGUUUGCUUGAAUAACUUAUCUGACGUAUCUCCUCAUGUUUAAUGAAGGAUUGUGUGUGCUAUCUAUAUUGUAGGUUACAUAGUACCAGAGCUAAUUCUAAACUCCUUCGUUCUGUGAUGUCGUGAGCACUGCAGGAGGGACGACAACCCCGCCGAGCACCAACACCCCAUUUGCGACGCCGCCACCUCCGAUCUUUGGCGGCGGCGGUUUCGGCGGGCUGACUCCGCCAUCGGGCUUUGACUCAUCCGUGCCAAACUCGUCCUUCUCGAACGCUGGUUCUUUCGCCGCCUCUCACCUUCUUACUCUCUCCCAUUUAGCUUGCUUCUGUUUCCUCCUUGUCUUGUUUUGAUGGUGUAGACUAAAGGUUGUGUAGAACACACUUAUUUUUUUNUGGGGGGGGGGGGGGUAAGAGAAAACUACUGCCACAAUUUUGUUUGAGGAAAAAAAAAGAAAAAAGAAAAAGCAAAGAACAAAAUUUGCCUGUUGUAAUUUAACAUGUGUAGGAUAGAGUGUGGGGUAGUUCAGUAGUUGCUUGUAGAAAUUGGUAAUGGGAGUGUUAUAUUCAUUGUUUUGUUUAUUUUAGCUAAAGCCCAUGUAGUUGUUGCUCUCUUUUGUACUACUCAAUGUUGUUAUCAAAUGCUUUGAAUAGAGAAUUUAGAUGUAUUCACACCA